Molecule: unclassified non-coding RNA, 248 nt
Filed under: Ampullaceana balthica
Lineage: Eukaryota; Metazoa; Mollusca; Gastropoda; Lymnaeidae
Description: sequence contains ITS2
Source: RNAcentral
GCCGCGCCGUUGUCCGUGUUCGUCUCGGGACGUCCGCGACGCCGCCUUGCUCUCGGCGGCGGCCAAAUUUCCUCUCCGUCACCGCUAUGCGGGACCCGGCUCGCUCUCGCUAACGGGCCCGCUUAUAACCAGCUUCAGGGUGACGGGCGGAGGAGAGAAGCUUACGCUGACGCUCGAUCGACGAGUCGGCGCCCGUACGAAAAAAAUUGGAAAAAAAAUAACCGUGCGUUGCGCGUUAUUUUUUUUUU